GUCGACACUCGUCCCCUAUUUACGAACCAUGCUUACUCCAAAAUGAACUUAACAAGUGCAUAUGGCACAUAUAUCCUGAAAAUUAUUUUACCAUGACUGAAAUAAGCACACAACAUAUCUGUUUGGCAACUAACCUCCCUACAAAGAUAAUUACUAGUAAUACAAGUAUUAAUCUACCUCUCCCCUUUUCAGGAUGUUUGACUAAUGUUACCUGGUUAGAUCUUAAUGGCACCCAAUAUUAUUUCAGCGACACAAUCACUUUAGACAAACAUAUUAAUGCCCUAUUAGGCUCUCUGCCUUUUAAAGAUUACCAUUUACCUCUUGAGACUAUUGUCUCCUUAAUGAAAGGAAAACAAAAUAUGUUUAAACAUCUUGUUACACAUAAUGAUGCUAUAGUACACACACAGGUAGCCACACAUAUCCUAAAAGGAGAACUCCUUAAGGUGAGUUCACAAAUUCAG
Non-coding RNA from Pelobates cultripes (western spadefoot toad), 461 nucleotides. The record is from the annotation of a GenBank genome assembly. NCBI's taxonomy places the organism in Eukaryota, Metazoa, Chordata, Amphibia, Anura, Pelobatidae.